UUUUUGCAAGGAUUUUUUUUUUUUUCCUAAACAGAUGUUGUGAGAGCAUCUUAAUGCAUCCAAAGUGCAGUUAUAUCAAUUAUUAUAGUAAACACUUCCUACGUUUUUUCUAUUUGAACUUUAUGCCUAGUCCAGAAUCUGGUGAAUUAAAUUAAGGCUUCUGUUGGCUUCAGUGGCCUUUGAAUCGUAUCCUUCAUAAGCAGGAAGUUUGAAUGGCUGGCUGUUCUUCAUAAAAUGUGCUGGCAUAAAUUGUGGAGCAAUGUGUAUCAGUCAUGAAUGGUAAUCUUUUCUUUUCCAAUACUGUAUGCAGAUAAAAGAUUUUAGCAUAUGUAAAUAAUUGAAUAUGGACCACAGUUUCACUAUCACUGUCACAUGAGCAUAUGUGCAAUAGCAAGAAUACGUUAUCCAAGAAAUCAGAAGUUUACUUUAAAAUUUAAUUCCGCAAGGUUUUGGUCACCUUUUUACAUUUUAUUUAAAAGAGAUUUAAAAAGAGAAGCUGAGAAGAAACCUGCCUACCCAGCCAUUUCCCUGUCAGAGCAGGGAGCCAGGCUCAGACCUGCACUUUGGGCUGGACCCCUUCUGCGGCAGAGCGCACGCUGUGCGAACGUGGGGAGGCAGAGUGGCGCGGCCAGGCCUGCUGAAGAUGGAUGCUUCCCACAGCACCUGUGGAGAACCCCGUAAGGAACCGGUGUGCGCUCCUGCGCCUGACAAGUGUCCCCUACCCCUCAAGAAGAAGAAGAAGGAGGAGGAAAAAAGCAAAAAUAAGGCAGAGGAAGAAAGAAGAGAAAGUGUGUUUUAAAUUAAAAUAUUUUAUCAUCUUUGUACAGCUACUAUGGCAGGACAAGUUGUUUGUUGUUGUUUUUCUUUCUGACGAAGUGUCAUUUCUCUUAAUUUAAGGUAAAGAAUCAUCGGCUGGAUGUAGUAGGUAGAAAAGCGAUAUCCCAGAACAAGUAAUAGCUCAUCUUUUUAGCGCAUCAGAAUAUUUCUAACAGUUGAGAUUGGGUGACUGCUGUAUUUGAUUUCUUGUUGUUUUCUACUAUGCUGUACUUAAUCUGCAGCUGCUGUUUUAAGUAAAUUGCAGAAAACACGUUGCACCCUCAAGGAGACCAGUCUUUGCCAUCACUGUAGUAGGAAUGACUCAAAACUUCUUUAUAAAGACCUCUCAUGGCCCCCACCCUUCCAGAAGAGCCAUCCAUGCUCCCCCCGUUUUUGCUGCACUAAAAGUGCCUUUUAUGUAGAUCUUUUUGGUAGACAUUUUUAUAUAUGUGGUUUCAGAAAUAAUUUAGUAAAUGAAUGAUGCCUGUAGAUGUUCAUAAAGAUCAGUAACUGAAAACUCAGUAAUCAAACUGAGCCAUCUUAUCUAUUAUCAUAAUCUAACACGUACCAUUAUUUUAUUGACGAGAGAGAGGAGCAGCAAAAUGGUCUUCUAUGCACGGUUUUAUUUAUUUACUUUUUCUCCCCCAAAAAGAUGGAUAUUGAAGUGAAUCACUCUCAACAUAGUUAACUAACCACAAACUUCCUCUGGACUUACUGUAAUAAGUUGCUAUUGUUAUUAAGCAGUAAAGUAUAGAGUACAGAGGAUGGUAGCUGCCCUGUAUUGAACAUUAACUUUCCAGUAUUCGUUGUUUCAGAUUUGUAUUUGCUCAGAGAGGAGUAGAAGUUCUUCUGUUUAAUCCUCAGUGGUUGCUAAUGCAACUUGUAUGCUUGGUGAAUUUUUAAGUUUUUGGAGAAAUAGUGUUUGACUAUCUGGCUGCGAAUUAUCUGGGUUGUGGAUUAACCUCGCUCUGUCCUUCUCACUUCACCUCUGCCUGCACUGUGCCACAGUGUGCCUGACAAUGUGUUGUUCAUCCCAGGCUCUGCUCUGCGUACUGUGAUAAAAAUCUUGCCCCAUUCUUUUCAUAAACCUGUCAUAUCUUUUGCAUCAUCUUGCCGUGCUUUGUUUCAUUACACAACACUGCUUUUUUUUUUUUUUUGGAAAAAAAAAAAAAAAGAUUUAUCAAGAAGCCAAAGUUGGUCAUGGCCAGAUUCAGACUGGAAGAGACAGUUUUUCUUUGCUUUUUGGGGUCAUGUGGACCUGAGCUGCAAAAAAAGACUCAGCUCAGAAUCAAGAGGGCAGGUAUUAGAGUGGUUUUAUGAAUGUGGGUUACAGAUAAACACUGAAAAAAAAAACCUCUUGUGUUCCCUCCACGAAAAUACUUUGUCUAGUUAAAGGUGUGUGUUUGAGUAGCCCAGUCAACAUAAAAUCAAAGGCCUAACUGAGAUGUUUCCACAGAUCAUUUCCAAGAACUGUGCUACACCUUUGAAAUUCAAGUGAACACUUAUAGUUGAGCAAUUCACUGUCAAAUGAAUAAAUGGUUUCCAAAGGUUAGGAAAGGUCA
Molecule: long non-coding RNA, 2378 nt
Filed under: Struthio camelus australis
Lineage: Eukaryota; Metazoa; Chordata; Aves; Struthioniformes; Struthionidae
Description: lncRNA (ENSSCUG00000013302.1)
Source: RNAcentral